This 253-nucleotide ribosomal RNA is filed under the name uncultured bacterium. RNAcentral describes it as "partial 16S ribosomal RNA". It matches the Rfam family "Bacterial small subunit ribosomal RNA", at positions 524 to 776 of the family's 1533-position model. The record is from RNAcentral.
UACAGAGGGUGCAAGCGUUGUUCGGAAUUAUUGGGCGUAAAGCGCGUGUAGGCGGCUUUGCAAGUCGGGUGUGAAAGCCCUCAGCUCAACUGAGGAAGUGCGCCCGAAACUGCAGAGCUUGAGUACCGGAGAGGAUGGCGGAAUUCCCCAAGUAGAGGUGAAAUUCGUAGAUAUGGGGAGGAACACCGGUGGCGAAGGCGGCCAUCUGGGCCGAUACUGACGCUGAGGAGCGAAAGCGUGGGGAGCGAACAGG